UGAUAAGUUAAAGUUUAUUUAAAAACUUAACUUAGUUAGUUGGAUUUAAUUUCCAUGAUAUAAAAUAAUAAAGGGGUGAAGUUUAAAACUAAAUAAGUAAAGGAAACUUGAGGGACUAAAGUUGUAACAUGUCAAAAAUUAAAGUUAAUUAAAAAUUAAAAAGGAUUAAAAACCCACACACACUCUCUGUGCGUGGGUUCUGGACGAUCGAAGGGAAGACAAGGGUUGAAACCCUAGCAUCAAGAAAUCCAGCAAUUUAGCUUGAAUCAAAGGAAAAAUUCGAUGCAUGAUGCCCUAAACUCGAGUAGCUAACCUCAGUUUCCGAAGUGGCACGAAGAAGGAAGAAGGCGCAAGUCACUCGAAGGCAUAAGUAUUUCAAGAUCGCUGUAAAACUCCACUCUAGGCGAUUUGGAGAUUUGGAGCGAGCACGGGCCCAUGCUAUGUUAUACCAAAUGCUUCCGCUAGUUUUUGUUCGUCUUUAUGGUCCGUGACUUGUUAUUUUGUCCAACUUUGUUAGUAGUCGUAUUUUGCAAAAACUUGUGGUCUUUGUCUUGGGUAGUUUAAUGUCAAAAAGGGUCAUAGAUUGUUGUUAGUUUUAUGUGUUAAAAACAGGGAGGCAUGUCCGUUUUUACGAACGGGUCAUGCCCAAUUUUCCUAAGAAUUUUAUUAUGUAUCAAAGUUUGGUAA
Long non-coding RNA from Helianthus annuus (common sunflower), 687 nucleotides. RefSeq lists it as uncharacterized. NCBI's taxonomy places the organism in Eukaryota, Viridiplantae, Streptophyta, Magnoliopsida, Asterales, Asteraceae. The transcript has 3 exons. The record is from RefSeq and is a predicted model, not a curated record.